GAUGAAGAACGUAGUGAAAUGCGAUAAGUAGUGUGAAUUGCAGAAUUCAGUGAAUCAUCGAAUCUUUGAACGCACAUUGCGCCCCUUGGUAUCCCGAGGGGCAUGCCUGUUCGAGCGUCAUUUCACCACUCAAGCCUGGCUUGGUGUUGGGCGACGUCCCCUUUAGGGACGCGCCUCGAAACGCUCGGCGGCGCGGCACCGGCUUUAAGCGUAGCAGAAUCUUUCGCUUUGGAAGUCGGGGCCCCGCCUGCCGGAAUAUCUACUUGUAAGGUUGACCUCGGAUCAGGCAGGGAUACCCGCUGAACUUAAGCAUAUCAAUAAGCGGAGGA
Molecule: unclassified non-coding RNA, 329 nt
Filed under: soil metagenome
Description: partial contains 5.8S ribosomal RNA, internal transcribed spacer 2, and large subunit ribosomal RNA
Rfam family: 5.8S ribosomal RNA (bases 1-120)
Source: RNAcentral